This is a long non-coding RNA of Electrophorus electricus (electric eel), 1294 nucleotides long. RefSeq lists it as uncharacterized. The record is from RefSeq and is a predicted model, not a curated record. Lineage: Eukaryota; Metazoa; Chordata; Actinopteri; Gymnotiformes; Gymnotidae.
AGAGAGCCGCCAAACCGUAUUUUACUUGCAGUACCCAACGUCAGCAGGUAGCCGUAGAGCUGUAGAUUUAAUAGCGAAGACAGUUUGUGUAAUUGAUGAGAACGAGGUAGGGGUGUAGGACGGCCCCUAUCUAAAAUAGAAAUAUAAAGCAGAGUCCAUGAGGUCGCACUCGCUGUACCUGCCACUAAAGUUGGACUACAGAGAACAAUCUGAUCUCUUCUUUUCCACAUGUGAUGGCGCAUUGGUUUCCUUUCCCAUUGGAGCCAAGUUAACUAUACCGACGCUUCUCCACCCCACAGGGACAUUACUGAACAUGAAUCGUCAGUAACACAGUCUGUAUAAAACUCGAAGCAUCUCUGAAGCUACAAAAACAAAGACAUGAGAUCGAUGAACCAUGUGAAUCUUACAAACAAGGAAAGAGUCUGUUGAUCCUGAUCGUGUGCCUGUAAUUACAAAUCUCUUCCUCUAGAUGGCAGUGUAUUAAAUGGUAUGUGUGAUGCAGAAAAGCUUAGCGCAGGAGUGAGGCUGCUGUCCAAGGUACUGAUACUAACAUGGUCUGUCUUGCCUCAAAAUUGUGUCUUCCUGAUGACAUGUACACAGCCUUGGAUUCUUAUUCCAGCUCUCCUGAGUACAACACGCUACCAGUGAGGGUUUUUUAAUGAUGUCACACACAACUCCUCCUCUAACUCUUACUCUCAUCACUGUUCAUCACUCUCGGGGCUUCUGGAAACAAAUGGACUAUGAAAUACAGCAAAGAGACAAUAUGUGCUUUAAAAGGGUCCACUGUGUUUAAGAAUGGCUCUUAUACACACCCAGACCAUCUUACAGUGACAGAAGCCUUUUGGUAUAUAGACCCAGUUAAGAGGAUGAACACCAUUACUGCUACAGAAUCCAAACACGCACAGAGAAAUGGGUGGGUAUUCCUGGAAUACAGCUGAAAUUUACAGGUACAUUUAAUCACCACAUUAUCCUGCUAACAACACAAGCUAUCAUGUCACUUUAAUCUUCAUGGUAUCAUAGUGAUUUAUAGUGACAUAUUCAUGUAGCUCCAUCAGAGGUUUUAUUCCACUGCAACAUCAGGGUUUUUCAGCUCCUGUCCUGGUCUAGAGCUGCACUGCUGGUGUUUUCUCUGCUUUGACACAUCUGAUGAUCUCUUUGACUUGGACCUCCAUGUAGACACCUCUCAAGCAGUAAUCGAGGGACACACCACUGUUCUGAUAUGUACAACCACCUGCAGUCUGACAGUCCAACAUUCAUCUGGUACAAAAAUGGACAUCCUUUAUCCUCCAGUACA